RNAcentral lists this ribosomal RNA (253 nucleotides) under uncultured bacterium. Its description in RNAcentral is "partial 16S ribosomal RNA". It matches the Rfam family "Bacterial small subunit ribosomal RNA", at positions 524 to 776 of the family's 1533-position model. The record is from RNAcentral.
UACGGGGGGGGCAAGCGUUGUUCGGAAUUACUGGGCGUAAAGGGCUCGUAGGCGGCCAACUAAGUCGGACGUGAAAUCCCUCGGCUUAACCGGGGAACUGCGUCCGAUACUGGAUGGCUUGAAUUCGGGAGAGGGAUGCGGAAUUCCAGGUGUAGCGGUGAAAUGCGUAGAUAUCUGGAGGAACACCGGUGGCGAAGGCGGCAUCCUGGACCGAGAUUGACGCUGAUGCGCGAAAGCCAGGGGAGCAAACGGG